AGAGUUUGAUCAUGGCUCUGAUUGAACGCUGGCGGCAGGCCUAACACAUGCAAGUCGAGCGGUAGAGAGGUGCUUGCACCUCUUGAGAGCGGCGGACGGGUGAGUAAAGCCUAGGAAUCUGCCUGGUAGUGGGGGAUAACGCUCGGAAACGGACGCUAAUACCGCAUACGUCCUACGGGAGAAAGCAGGGGACCUUCGGGCCUUGCGCUAUCAGAUGAGCCUAGGUCGGAUUAGCUAGUUGGUGAGGUAAUGGCUCACCAAGGCGACGAUCCGUAACUGGUCUGAGAGGAUGAUCAGUCACACUGGAACUGAGACACGGUCCAGACUCCUACGGGAGGCAGCAGUGGGGGAUAUUGGACAAUGGGCGAAAGCCUGAUCCAGCCAUGCCGCGUGUGUGAAGAAGGUCUUCGGAUUGUAAAGCACUUUAAGUUGGGAGGAAGGGCAUUAACCUAAUACGUUAGUGUUUUGACGUUACCGACAGAAUAAGCACCGGCUAACUCUGUGCCAGCAGCCGCGGUAAUACAGAGGGUGCAAGCGUUAAUCGGAAUUACUGGGCGUAAAGCGCGCGUAGGUGGUUCG
Molecule: ribosomal RNA, 579 nt
Filed under: uncultured bacterium
Lineage: Bacteria
Description: bacterial SSU rRNA
Rfam family: Bacterial small subunit ribosomal RNA
Source: RNAcentral